GCCGAAGUGGUGGAAUAGGUAGACACGCCGUCUUGAGGGGGCGGUGGCUUCGCGCUGUGCCGGUUCGAGUCCGGCCUUCGGCACCA
Molecule: transfer RNA, 86 nt
Filed under: Legionellaceae bacterium
Lineage: Bacteria; Pseudomonadati; Pseudomonadota; Gammaproteobacteria; Legionellales; Legionellaceae
Description: tRNA-Leu
Rfam family: tRNA
About the family: Transfer RNA (tRNA) molecules are approximately 80 nucleotides in length.
Source: RNAcentral